Molecule: ribosomal RNA, 1359 nt
Filed under: Triticum aestivum (bread wheat)
Lineage: Eukaryota; Viridiplantae; Streptophyta; Magnoliopsida; Poales; Poaceae
Description: partial small subunit ribosomal RNA
Source: RNAcentral
AUGCGGAGGGUGUUCGACGAGCUGCCGCGCGUGCGGGACGUCGUGACCUGGAACGCGGUCCUUGCCGGGUACGUCCGAGCGGGCAUGGUGAGGGUUGCGCGAGAGAUGUUUGAGGAAAUGCCGGUGAGAGAUGAGGUUUCCUGGAGCACCGUGGUGGGCGGGUAUGUGAAGGAGGGGGAGCUGGAUGUGGCGCUGGCAUUGUUUAGGGAUAUGGUGGAGAAUGGGGUCAGGGUGAAUGAGGCUGCGGUGGUGACGGCAUUGUCGGCGGCCGCACAGCUGGGUUUGCUUGAGCAUGGCAGGUUUGUGCACCAGGUUGUCCAUCAAGAACGGAUGCCGAUCAGUGUGAAUAUAGGGGCUGCCAUGGUGGAUAUGUAUGCCAAGUGUGGGUGUGUAGCAGUGGCCAGGGAAGUUUUCGAUGGGAUGCCUAGGAGGGAUGUUUUUGCAUGGAACGCCAUGAUCUGCGGACUUGCUGCUCAUGGGUUGGGACAGGAUGCAGUGGAACUCUUUGAACAGUUUCUCGCCGAGGGUUUGAGUCCAACGAACAUUACAUUUGUUGGCGUGCUAAAUGCCUGCAGCCGCUUUGGCCUUGUUGCUGAGGGGCGGCGGUAUUUUGAAUUGAUGGCUGAAAAAUAUAGUGUUGAGCCGGAAAUGGAGCAUUAUGGCUGCAUGGUUGAUCUUCUAGGCCGGGCUGGUCUUAUUCAAGAAGCCAUUGAAUUGAUCGAAGGGAUGCCUAUUGCACCUGACCCGGUUCUCUGGGGCACUGUACUCUCGGCCUGCAAGAAACAUGGCCUGGUGGACUUGGGGAUCAAGGUUGGUAACAAGCUAGUUGAACUGGAGCCAGCUCAUGAUGGCCACUAUGUCCUCCUUGCAAGUAUUUAUGCCAAGGCAAAGAAAUGGGAUGAAGUCAGGGAAGUCAGGAAACUGAUGUCUAGUCGGGGUACCAGUAAGUCAGCUGGCUGGAGCUUGAUGGAAGCACAAGGAAACGUGCAUAAGUUUCUAGUAGGAGACAGAGAUCACAAGGAUUCCGUUCGGAUAUAUAACAUGCUCGACAUGAUUAACAGAAAGUUGGCAGAUGCAGGGUAUGUACCAGAGGUGUCGUCUGUAUUGCAUGACAUUGGAGAUGAAGAGAAAGUGCAUGCAAUCAAGGUGCAUAGCGAGCGUCUGGCAAUUGCUUAUGGGUUCAUAGUUACGGAAGUUGGCAACCCAAUCCGUAUUGUUAAGAACCUUCAGGUGUGUGGGGAUUGUCAUGAAUUCAGUAAGAUGGUGACAAAGGUUUUCAAUAGGGAGAUUAUUGUGAGAGAUGGUAGUAGAUUCCAUCAUAUGAAAGAAGGGAAGUGUUCUUGCCUUGACUAUUGGUAG